UACGUAGGGGGCGAGCGUUGUCCGGAAUUACUGGGCGUAAAGAGAGCGUAGGCGGCACUACAAGUCUCAUGUGAAAUACCCGGGCUUAACUUGGGGGUUGCAUGGGGAACUGUAGAGCUUGAGUACAGGAGAGGCAAGCGGAAUUCCUAGUGUAGCGGUGAAAUGCAUAGAUAUUAGGAGGAACACCAGUGGCGAAGGCGGCUUGCUGGACUGAAACUGACGCUGAGGCUCGAAAGCGUGGGGAGCAAACAGG
Molecule: ribosomal RNA, 253 nt
Filed under: uncultured bacterium
Lineage: Bacteria
Description: partial 16S ribosomal RNA
Rfam family: Bacterial small subunit ribosomal RNA
Source: RNAcentral